Molecule: ribosomal RNA, 313 nt
Filed under: Escherichia coli
Lineage: Bacteria; Pseudomonadati; Pseudomonadota; Gammaproteobacteria; Enterobacterales; Enterobacteriaceae
Also listed under: 1 other name
Description: partial 23S ribosomal RNA
Rfam family: Bacterial large subunit ribosomal RNA
Source: RNAcentral
GGUUAAGCGACUAAGCGUACACGGUGGAUGCCCUGGCAGUCAGAGGCGAUGAAGGACGUGCUAAUCUGCGAUAAGCGUCGGUAAGGUGAUAUGAACCGUUAUAACCGGCGAUUUCCGAAUGGGGAAACCCAGUGUGAUUCGUCACACUAUCAUUAACUGAAUCCAUAGGUUAAUGAGGCGAACCGGGGGAACUGAAACAUCUAAGUACCCCGAGGAAAAGAAAUCAACCGAGAUUCCCCCAGUAGCGGCGAGCGAACGGGGAGCAGCCCAGAGCCUGAAUCAGUGUGUGUGUUAGUGGAAGCGUCUGGAAAGG